This 228-nucleotide ribosomal RNA is filed under the name uncultured bacterium. Its description in RNAcentral is "partial 16S ribosomal RNA". It matches the Rfam family "Bacterial small subunit ribosomal RNA", at positions 568 to 795 of the family's 1533-position model. The record is from RNAcentral.
UGCGUAGGCGGAUUAAUAAGUCAGUGGUGAAAUCUUUCGGCUCAACCGAGCAACUGCCAUUGAUACUGUUAAUCUUGAGUUCGGUUGAGGUAGGCGGAAUGUGUAAUGUAGCGGUGAAAUGCUUAGAUAUUACACAGAACACCAAUUGCGUAGGCAGCUUACUAGACCGACACUGACGCUGAGGCACGAAAGCGUGGGGAGCGAACAGGAUUAGAUACCCUGGUAGUC